CGUUUUGCGCCUUAAAAUCUCGGUUUGCCUCGUAUUGCAGUCAUAUUAAAUUAUGUUUAUCUAAAUAUUGAUUCAUCAAGACAUGUAUAGGUCAGUUUUCUGACCUGUUCGGCAAUUGCAAGUUACAUGUAGUACUGGAAACACAAAAAUACAUGAUAUGCACCUGUUUAAUUAAAAAAAAAAACACAAUAAUAAAUGUUUUUAGAUACUUUAUAUGAACAUUCUUAGGAAUACAUGCAUUAAAUGUUGUUUGUAAUUUACCUGACAUGACAUAAUUGAAUAUUGUACAACUAAUAAUACGGUUUAAUAUUGUUUUAAAACCAUCGAUGUGCUAUUUCAUAUUGUUAAUGAGAGUUUAAUUUACUUUUAUAAAAUUUUGUAAGUGGAUCUAAGUGUUGUACUGGAUUUUUUCUGGAAUGAGACGAUUGGGGACUGUACAGCUUGCAAAAAUGGAUUUUUCGGGGUUAACUGUACAAAGUGCCCUGAAAUGUAUUUCGGACCAGUCUGUGGAUUUAAGUGCAAUUGCUCCGUUGACCAAUGUCACCACGUUACUGGAUGUCAACAGUCUCCUUUAGGAGACCAGUCGAAAACAACCUUGUUACUGGCGCACGAUGUCCCGGUGUCAAAAGAUAAAUCCACACCAUCUAAAGUAUUAAAUGAACUACCAACAAACAACAUUACCAAUUUAUUACCAACAGAUCGUCACAUAUAUACACGGAAGGAAACAAAACGCUCUGGUAAUUCAUCAUAUUGGUCUGGCAUGUACGAUGCUUCAAUUUUUCUAGCGAUUGUUGCAGCUGUUCUGUUUGCGUUAUAUUUGGUUUUGACGUUAUAUAGUAAA
Molecule: long non-coding RNA, 841 nt
Organism: Magallana angulata
Lineage: Eukaryota; Metazoa; Mollusca; Bivalvia; Ostreida; Ostreidae
Exons: 4
Source: RefSeq, a predicted model, not a curated record